GCGCGAAAACUUUACAAUGCUGGCAACAGCGAUAAGGGAACCUCGAGUGCCAGGUUACAAAUCUGGCUGUCGAGAUGCCUAAAAAGCAUUUCAUAGCAAGGGCCGGGCAAGACCGGUGCCAGCCGCCGCGGUAACACCGGCGGCUCGAGUGGUAACCGUUAUUAUUGGGUCUAAAGGGUCUGUAGCCGGCCGGAUAAGUCUCUUGAGGAAUCUGGCAGCUUAACUGUCAGGCUUUCAGGAGAUACUGUCUGGCUCGAGGCCGGGAGAGGUGAGAGGUACUUCAGGGGUAGGGGUGAAAUCUUGUAAUCCUUGAAGGACCACCAGUGGCGAAGGCGUCUCACCAGAACGGACCUGACGGCAAGGGACGAAAGCUAGGGGCACGAACCG
This 387-nucleotide ribosomal RNA is filed under the name uncultured bacterium. Its description in RNAcentral is "bacterial SSU rRNA". It matches the Rfam family "Archaeal small subunit ribosomal RNA", at positions 339 to 726 of the family's 1478-position model. The record is from RNAcentral.